GAUGAACGCUGGCGGCGUGCUUAACACAUGCAAGUCGAACGGAAAGGCCCAAGCUUGCUUGGGUACUCGAGUGGCGAACGGGUGAGUAACACGUGGGUGAUCUGCCCUGCACUUCGGGAUAAGCCUGGGAAACUGGGUCUAAUACCGGAUAGGACCACUUCUUGGAUGUUGUGGUGGAAAGUUUUUUCGGUGUGGGAUGAGCUCGCGGCCUAUCAGCUUGUUGGUGGGGUAAUGGCCUACCAAGGCGUCGACGGGUAGCCGGCCUGAGAGGGUGUACGGCCACAUUGGGACUGAGAUACGGCCCAGACUCCUACGGGAGGCAGCAGUGGGGAAUAUUGCACAAUGGGCGCAAGCCUGAUGCAGCGACGCCGCGUGGGGGAUGACGGCCUUCGGGUUGUAAGCUCCCUUCGCUAGGGAUGAAGCGUUUUGUGACGGUACCUGGAGAAGAAGCACCGGCUAACUACGUG
RNAcentral lists this ribosomal RNA (467 nucleotides) under uncultured bacterium. Its description in RNAcentral is "partial 16S ribosomal RNA". It matches the Rfam family "Bacterial small subunit ribosomal RNA", at positions 28 to 507 of the family's 1533-position model. The record is from RNAcentral.